Molecule: ribosomal RNA, 515 nt
Filed under: uncultured microorganism
Description: bacterial SSU rRNA
Rfam family: Bacterial small subunit ribosomal RNA
Source: RNAcentral
GAGUUUGAUCGUGGCUCAGGAUGAACGCUGGCGGCGUGCCUAAUACAUGCAAGUCGAGCGAACGGACGAGAAGCUUGCUUCUCUGAUGUUAGCGGCGGACGGGUGAGUAACACGUGGAUAACCUACCUAUAAGACUGGGAUAACUUCGGGAAACCGGAGCUAAUACCGGAUAAUAUUUUGAACCGCAUGGUUCAAAAGUGAAAGACGGUCUUGCUGUCACUUAUAGAUGGAUCCGCGCUGCAUUAGCUAGUUGGUAAGGUAACGGCUUACCAAGGCAACGAUGCAUAGCCGACCUGAGAGGGUGAUCGGCCACACUGGAACUGAGACACGGUCCAGACUCCUACGGGAGGCAGCAGUAGGGAAUCUUCCGCAAUGGGCGAAAGCCUGACGGAGCAACGCCGCGUGAGUGAUGAAGGUCUUCGGAUCGUAAAACUCUGUUAUUAGGGAAGAACAUAUGUGUAAGUAACUGUGCACAUCUUGACGGUACCUAAUCAGAAAGCCACGGCUAACUACGU